GAUGAACGCUGGCGGCGUGCCUAAUACAUGCAAGUCGAGCGAACAGACGAGGAGCUUUCUCCUCUUACGUUAGCGGCGGACGGGUGAGUAAAACGUGGAUAACCUACCUAUAAGACUGGGAUAACUUCGGGAAACCGGAGCGAAUACCGCGUAUUAUAUUUAACCUCAUGGUUCAAUAUUGAAAGACGGUUUUGCUGUCACUUAUACAUUGAUCCACGCCGCAUUAGCUAGUUGGUAAGGUAACGGCUUACAAAGGCAACGAUGGGUAGCCGACCUGAUAGGGUGAUCGCCCACACUGGAACUGAGAAACGGCCAAGACUCCUACGGGAGGCAGCAGGAGGGAAUCUUCGGCAAUGGGCGAAAGCUUGACGGAGAAACGCCGCGUGGGUGAUGAAGGCCUUGGGAUCGUAAAACCCUUUUAUCAGGGAAGAACACAUGUGUAAGUAACUAUGCAAGUAUUGACGGUACCUAAACAGAAAGCCACGGCUAACUACGUG
Molecule: ribosomal RNA, 497 nt
Filed under: uncultured bacterium
Lineage: Bacteria
Description: partial 16S ribosomal RNA
Rfam family: Bacterial small subunit ribosomal RNA
Source: RNAcentral